RNAcentral lists this transfer RNA (71 nucleotides) under Camelus bactrianus (Bactrian camel). It matches the Rfam family "tRNA". From Rfam's summary of the family: Transfer RNA (tRNA) molecules are approximately 80 nucleotides in length. Lineage: Eukaryota; Metazoa; Chordata; Mammalia; Artiodactyla; Camelidae. RNAcentral also lists the same sequence under 2 other names. The record is from Rfam by way of RNAcentral.
AGGGUAUAGCUCAGUGGUAGAGCACAUGUUUAGCAUGCAUGAGGUCCUGGGUUCAAUUCCCAGUACCUCUA